GCCUGGGUGGCUUAGUCAGUUAAGCGUCUGACUUUGGCUCAGGUCAUGAUCUCACAAUUUGUGGGUUUGAGCCCUGCAUCAGGCU
This 85-nucleotide transfer RNA is filed under the name Felis catus (domestic cat). It matches the Rfam family "tRNA". From Rfam's summary of the family: Transfer RNA (tRNA) molecules are approximately 80 nucleotides in length. Their secondary structure includes four short double-helical elements and three loops (D, anti-codon, and T loops). The record is from Rfam by way of RNAcentral. Lineage: Eukaryota; Metazoa; Chordata; Mammalia; Carnivora; Felidae. RNAcentral also lists the same sequence under 4 other names.